Molecule: long non-coding RNA, 1422 nt
Filed under: Homo sapiens (human)
Lineage: Eukaryota; Metazoa; Chordata; Mammalia; Primates; Hominidae
Description: HSALNT0375677
Source: RNAcentral
CGCAGGGAUAGCUGGUGUGCGUGCAGCGGAAGGCGCUAACUGCCCUGGAUGUGGAGACCCGCGGACUGGACGUGAGAGGCGGGCAGGGGCAGUUGGGGCAGCUGCCCCUACAACACUGAAGAAUUGGAAUAGGAAAGAGUGUGGGGGUAGGGGACGGGGACUCUUUGUCUGCAGUUGGAAUGCGCGGAGGGGCAUGGUGGAAUGUGUCGCGUCCCGGGACCGGACGACAGGAGGCAUGUUCUGCGCUAGCACCGUGACUUUGUUCCCAGCGUGGGGACUGUGGGAGAGAUGGAGAGAGACUGGUACAGAAAUGGUGAGACAAGGAGAGAGCCAUAAAGAGGAAGACAGAGAGAAAGAAGACAAAUGCAUAAAGAGGUUCAGAGACGUGUACGUAAAGAUAGCCCUGAAAGGCGACGAAGCCCACAGAGAGAGGUGGAAGAGGGAAGAGGUAGCGAAAGAAAGGGAGAGCUGAGGAGCAAAGAGGAGUGUGGACGAUGCAGAGACCGAAGGGUGCGCAGACAAAGGAAAGGACAAGCUUGUCCAGAGAGAAUGAGAGACAAACAGAUAAACUGCAAUAAAAAGGCACCACCUUCUGGACCCAAAAGUUUUGUGAUUUGUAAAAGCAGUGAAAAGGAGUCAGGAAAAUGGGACUAAUCUCUACUUUGAGAGGGAGGGAAAGAGAUAUAGUGUGUAUGUAGAAGCAGUGAAAAGGAGUGAGGAAAAGGUUUGGGACUAAUCUCUACCUUAAGGGUAGGACAGUUAGAGGGAUAGACACCCCCUGGUGUUGGGAAAUGAGAUUUUUCUCAUUUCAGGUGACUGUGGAGAUCGAAGGCCUGGUUUUAGGGCUAGCGAACACCUUCUCCCUUUGGUUUUGGUCCACAGAAGACUGGUGAUACAGACUCCUUAUCAGUGUAAUUGUGGGGACUGGUCACCAGCUCUUGCUUGAGCUUUUCCAGAAGAAACUUCACUACUGAAAUAUUCCAAGAGGACUUGAUGCUGCCACAAAGAGAAGAGAAUGAAUAAAGUUGUCGGCUUUGUAAGAGCCAGACAAACAGAGAUACCCAGCACUAAUCAACUUUGUGGCAAAUCCCUCCACAGCCUAAGAAGGCAUCCUCGCCAGGAGAGGCAGAGUCCAUGGAGCAGCCGAGACAGCUGUGGAAGAGAAGGUGCCAUGCGGAGCUACUGAGAGAGAGGGAAGGGCACCCCAUCACUACACACAGCAAAAAAUGACCUUCUGCCAAAGAAGCUGAUGGUUCAGGAAGAAAAUAGAGCUGACUAUCCCUGAAGGAAAAGGAAACGUGGUACUGUUUUGCUUUAUCACAAAUACAAACAAAAGGUUUAAAGAUGGAAAGAAAAGAACAGAAAGGAAAAAGAGUGAAAAGCCAGGAAAAGCACCUAGGAGGAAUAGCCCUCUGCUGCCAU